CGGGGGCGUUGUCCCUUUGUCGGUGGUAUUUCUACCACAAACUAAGGACCCUAUCUCGCUCUAUCUCGAAUUUUCAGGUUCAGGGGAGGAGGCGUCCAAGGUUUUAACCUUAUUUACUUUCUCUCUCUUAUAGUGCGUUGACCAUAACGUCACUAUAGAGAGGUAACCCGCCUGGCUACAUGCCUCUGGCCACACAAUAAACCCUUAAAGGUAAGGCGUUCAGAGUGUGAGGGGACUAAUCAUCCCCCACCUGGAUAACAGAAGUUAUCCCAAGUGCCCCACCAUUCUGUUACUGAACUAAUAAAACCAUGAGUCUCGUACGGAGGCGAAAACCCCCUCAGAUAUGUAUGGCACGACUCCACACUUUGCCUUCUUUGAGUUUGAAGUGUAUCCUUGCCCACGAGCGAGGCAAAUGCUCGAAAGAGGGCGAUAAGAGGCACUUUC
Molecule: long non-coding RNA, 444 nt
Filed under: Amborella trichopoda
Lineage: Eukaryota; Viridiplantae; Streptophyta; Magnoliopsida; Amborellales; Amborellaceae
Description: long non-coding RNA (ATRI_LNC001902)
Source: RNAcentral